AGCAUCUAAGCGGGAAGCCUACCUCAAGAUAAGAUUUCCCUAGGACUUUAUGUCCUCUAAAGAGCCGUUCGAGACUAGGACGUUGAUAGGUUGGAUGUGGAAGCAUAGUGAUAUGUGAAGCUGACCAAUACUAAUUGCUCGUGAGGCUUGACUAUACAACACCCAAGCAGUUG
Molecule: ribosomal RNA, 173 nt
Filed under: Acinetobacter baumannii
Lineage: Bacteria; Pseudomonadati; Pseudomonadota; Gammaproteobacteria; Moraxellales; Moraxellaceae
Also listed under: 1 other name
Description: partial 23S ribosomal RNA
Rfam family: Bacterial large subunit ribosomal RNA (bases 1-155)
Source: RNAcentral